This 467-nucleotide ribosomal RNA is filed under the name uncultured bacterium. Its description in RNAcentral is "partial 16S ribosomal RNA". It matches the Rfam family "Bacterial small subunit ribosomal RNA", at positions 28 to 506 of the family's 1533-position model. The record is from RNAcentral.
GACGAACGCUGGCGGCGUGCUUAACACAUGCAAGUCGAACGGAAAGGCCCUGCUUUUGUGGGGUGCUCGAGUGGCGAACGGGUGAGUAACACGUGAGUAACCUGCCCUUGACUUUGGGAUAACUUCAGGAAACUGGGGCUAAUACCGGAUAGGAGCUCCUGCUGCAUGGUGGGGGUUGGAAAGUUUCGGCGGUUGGGGAUGGACUCGCGGCUUAUCAGCUUGUUGGUGGGGUAGUGGCUUACCAAGGCUUUGACGGGUAGCCGGCCUGAGAGGGUGACCGGCCACAUUGGGACUGAGAUACGGCCCAGACUCCUACGGGGGGCAGCAGUGGGGAAUAUUGCACAAUGGGCGGAAGCCUGAUGCAGCAACGCCGCGUGCGGGAUGACGGCCUUCGGGUUGUAAACCGCUUUCGCCUGUGACGAAGCGUGAGUGACGGUAAUGGGUAAAGAAGCACCGGCUACCUACGU